RNAcentral lists this ribosomal RNA (2926 nucleotides) under Salmonella enterica subsp. enterica serovar Enteritidis. Its description in RNAcentral is "bacterial LSU rRNA". It matches the Rfam family "Bacterial large subunit ribosomal RNA". Lineage: Bacteria; Pseudomonadati; Pseudomonadota; Gammaproteobacteria; Enterobacterales; Enterobacteriaceae. The record is from RNAcentral.
GGGUUGUGAGGUUAAGCGACUAAGCGUACACGGUGGAUGCCCUGGCAGUCAGAGGCGAUGAAGGGCGUGCUAAUCUGCGAUAAGCGCCGGUAAGGUGAUAUGAACCGUUAUAACCGGCGAUACCCGAAUGGGGAAACCCAGUGUGACUCGUCACACUAUCAUUAACUGAAUCCAUAGGUUAAUGAGGCGAACCGGGGGAACUGAAACAUCUAAGUACCCCGAGGAAAAGAAAUCAACCGAGAUUCCCCAGUAGCGGCGAGCGAACGGGGAGGAGCCCAGAGCCUGAAUCAGCAUGUGUGUUAGUGGAAGCGUCUGGAAAGGCGCGCGAUACAGGGUGACAGCCCCGUACACAAAAGCGCAUGUGCUGUGAGCUCGAUGAGUAGGGCGGGACACGUGGUAUCCUGUCUGAAUAUGGGGGACCAUCCUCCAAGGCUAAAUACUCCUGACUGACCGAUAGUGAACCAGUACCGUGAGGGAAAGGCGAAAAGAACCCCGGCGAGGGGAGUGAAAAAGAACCUGAAACCGUGUACGUACAAGCAGUGGGAGCACAGGUUUACCUGUGUGACUGCGUACCUUUUGUAUAAUGGGUCAGCGACUUAUAUUCUGUAGCAAGGUUAACCGAAUAGGGGAGCCGGAGGGAAACCGAGUCUUAAUUGGGCGUUAAGUUGCAGGGUAUAGACCCGAAACCCGGUGAUCUAGCCAUGGGCAGGUUGAAGGUUGGGUAACACUAACUGGAGGACCGAACCGACUAAUGUUGAAAAAUUAGCGGAUGACCUGUGGCUGGGGGUGAAAGGCCAAUCAAACCGGGAGAUAGCUGGUUCUCCCCGAAAGCUAUUUAGGUAGCGCCUCGUGAAUUCAUCUCCGGGGGUAGAGCACUGUUUCGGCUAGGGGGCCAUCCCGGCUUACCAACCCGAUGCAAACUGCGAAUACCGGAGAAUGUUAUCACGGGAGACACACGGCGGGUGCUAACGUCCGUCGUGAAGAGGGAAACAACCCAGACCGCCAGCUAAGGUCCCAAAGUCAUGGUUAAGUGGGAAACGAUGUGGGAAGGCCCAGACAGCCAGGAUGUUGGCUUAGAAGCAGCCAUCAUUUAAAGAAAGCGUAAUAGCUCACUGGUCGAGUCGGCCUGCGCGGAAGAUGUAACGGGGCUAAACCAUGCACCGAAGCUGCGGCAGCGACACUGUGUGUUGUUGGGUAGGGGAGCGUUCUGUAAGCCUGUGAAGGUGUGUCGUGAGGCAUGCUGGAGGUAUCAGAAGUGCGAAUGCUGACAUAAGUAACGAUAAAGCGGGUGAAAAGCCCGCUCGCCGGAAGACCAAGGGUUCCUGUCCAACGUUAAUCGGGGCAGGGUGAGUCGACCCCUAAGGCGAGGCCGAAAGGCGUAGUCGAUGGGAAACGGGUUAAUAUUCCCGUACUUGGUGUUACUGCGAAGGGGGGACGGAGAAGGCUAUGUUGGCCGGGCGACGGUUGUCCCGGUUUAAGCGUGUAGGUGUGUGUUCCAGGUAAAUCCGGUUCACUUUAACACUGAGGCGUGACGACGAGGCACUACGGUGCUGAAGCAACAAAUGCCCUGCUUCCAGGAAAAGCCUCUAAGCAUCAGGUAACAUCAAAUCGUACCCCAAACCGACACAGGUGGUCAGGUAGAGAAUACCAAGGCGCUUGAGAGAACUCGGGUGAAGGAACUAGGCAAAAUGGUGCCGUAACUUCGGGAGAAGGCACGCUGACACGUAGGUGAAGUGAUUUACUCAUGGAGCUGAAGUCAGUCGAAGAUACCAGCUGGCUGCAACUGUUUAUUAAAAACACAGCACUGUGCAAACACGAAAGUGGACGUAUACGGUGUGACGCCUGCCCGGUGCCGGAAGGUUAAUUGAUGGGGUCAGCGCAAGCGAAGCUCCUGAUCGAAGCCCCGGUAAACGGCGGCCGUAACUAUAACGGUCCUAAGGUAGCGAAAUUCCUUGUCGGGUAAGUUCCGACCUGCACGAAUGGCGUAAUGAUGGCCAGGCUGUCUCCACCCGAGACUCAGUGAAAUUGAACUCGCUGUGAAGAUGCAGUGUACCCGCGGCAAGACGGAAAGACCCCGUGAACCUUUACUAUAGCUUGACACUGAACAUUGAGCCUUGAUGUGUAGGAUAGGUGGGAGGCUUUGAAGUGUGGACGCCAGUCUGCAUGGAGCCGACCUUGAAAUACCACCCUUUAAUGUUUGAUGUUCUAACGUGGACCCGUUACCCGGGUUGCGGACAGUGUCUGGUGGGUAGUUUGACUGGGGCGGUCUCCUCCUAAAGAGUAACGGAGGAGCACGAAGGUUGGCUAAUCCUGGUCGGACAUCAGGAGGUUAGUGCAAUGGCAUAAGCCAGCUUGACUGCGAGCGUGACGGCGCGAGCAGGUGCGAAAGCAGGUCAUAGUGAUCCGGUGGUUCUGAAUGGAAGGGCCAUCGCUCAACGGAUAAAAGGUACUCCGGGGAUAACAGGCUGAUACCGCCCAAGAGUUCAUAUCGACGGCGGUGUUUGGCACCUCGAUGUCGGCUCAUCACAUCCUGGGGCUGAAGUAGGUCCCAAGGGUAUGGCUGUUCGCCAUUUAAAGUGGUACGCGAGCUGGGUUUAGAACGUCGUGAGACAGUUCGGUCCCUAUCUGCCGUGGGCGCUGGAGAACUGAGGGGGGCUGCUCCUAGUACGAGAGGACCGGAGUGGACGCAUCACUGGUGUUCGGGUUGUCAUGCCAAUGGCACUGCCCGGUAGCUAAAUGCGGAAGAGAUAAGUGCUGAAAGCAUCUAAGCACGAAACUUGCCCCGAGAUGAGUUCUCCCUGAGACUUAAAGUCUCCUGAAGGAACGUUGAAGACGACGACGUUGAUAGGCCGGGUGUGUAAGCGCAGCGAUGCGUUGAGCUAACCGGUACUAAUGAACCGUGAGGCUUAACCUUACAACGCCGAAG